CUGACCGAGCAACGCCGCGUGAACGAUGAAGUAUUUCGGUAUGUAAAGUUCUUUUAUUAGGGAAGAAUAAAUGAUGGAAAAAUCAUUCUGACGGUACCUAAUGAAUAAGCCCCGGCUAACUAUGUGCCAGCAGCCGCGGUAAUACAUAGGGGGCAAGCGUUAUCCGGAAUUAUUGGGCGUAAAGGGUGCGUAGGCGGUUAAAUAAGUUUAUGGUCUAAGUGCAAUGCUCAACAUUGUGAUGCUAUAAAAACUGUUUAGCUAGAGUAAGAUAGAGGCAAGUGGAAUUCCAUGUGUAGUGGUAAAAUGCGUAAAUAUAUGGAGGAACACCAGUAGCGAAGGCGGCUUGCUGGGUCUUUACUGACGCUGAGGCACGAAAGCGUGGGGAGCAAACAGGAUUAGAUACCCUGGUAGUCCACGCUGUAAACGAUGAGUACUAAACGUUGGGUAAAACCAGUGUUGAAGUUAACACAUUAAGUACUCCGCCUGAGUAGUACGUACGCAAGUAUGAAACUUAAAGGAAUUGACGGGACUCCGCACAAGCGGUGGAUCAUGUUGUUUAAUUCGAAGGUACCCGAAAAACCUCACCAGGUCUUGACAUGCUUCUGCAAAGUUGUAGAAAUACAGUGGAGGUUAUCAGUUGCACAGGUGGUGCAUGGUUGUCGUCAGCUCGUGUCGUGAGAUGUUGGGUUAAGUCCCGCAACGAGCGCAACCCUUAUUGUUAGUUACCAGCACGUAAUGGUGGGGACUUUAGCAAGACUGCCAGUGAUAAAUUGGAGGAAGGUGGGGACGACGUCAAAUCAUCAUGCCCCUUAUGACCUGGGCUACAAACGUGAUACAAUGGC
Molecule: ribosomal RNA, 842 nt
Filed under: uncultured bacterium
Lineage: Bacteria
Description: bacterial SSU rRNA
Rfam family: Bacterial small subunit ribosomal RNA
Source: RNAcentral